This 634-nucleotide ribosomal RNA is filed under the name Bariella spinishieldis. RNAcentral's name for it is "partial 18S ribosomal RNA". It matches the Rfam family "Eukaryotic small subunit ribosomal RNA", at positions 389 to 910 of the family's 1831-position model. Lineage: Eukaryota; Metazoa; Arthropoda; Arachnida; Trombidiformes; Eriophyidae. The record is from RNAcentral.
ACAAGCCUGAGAAACGGCUAGUAGGACUAAGGUCUGCAGCAGGCGCGAAACUUACACAAUGCUAGUUCCGAAGUUAGCGAUGUAGUGAAGAAAAAUAACGAUGCGCUUGUAUUUAAACAUACUAGCGCAAUUGGAAUGAGACGACUCUAAACCAGUUAGUCGAGUAACAAAUGGAGGGCAAGUCUGGUGCCAGCAGCCGCGGUAAUUCCAGCUCCAUUAGCAUACAUUAAAGUUGUUGCGGUUAAAAAGCUCGUAGUUGAAUGUAGUGUUUGCAUUUACUCUCUUGUUUCUUCAUAGAUUCAAUGAGAGAGAAUGCGAACUGUUUCGUCACUUAAUCGAGUGCGAAGCGGGGGUUAUCUAGCUCUCGAGCAAGAAAACCCGCCUUUACCUUGAGAAAAUUAGAGUGCUCACAGCAGGCAGUUUGGAUGUAAAAGUCCAUUUAUGCUUGAAUAAUGUUGCAUGGAAUAAUAGAAUACGGCCUCGGUUCUAUUCUGUUGGUCUUAUAGAACAACAAACAAGUUGGCUUUCAUUGAAGUGGUGUCGUCAUAUAACCCCAGUACCCUCAUGACAACAACCAACUGAGGCAAUGGUUAAAAGAAAUAGUCGCGGCGGCAUCAGUACUGCAUCGUGAGAG